CUGCAACGCCUGCUUCAGCCCAAGUUACUGAAGCUUGAGUACUUACAAGAAAAACAGAGCCGAGUCUCCAGUGAGUUGGAAAAGCAGGCCCUGGAGAAGCAGAUUAAGGAAGCAGAGAAGGAAAUUCAGGACAUCAAGUAAGCUGGGCUGUCUGGGUCCUGGGAAGAGCCUCAGCCUUGCAUGGUACCAGCUCCUUGUCCUCUGCUUUAGCCAGCUCCCAGAGGAAGCUUUGUUGGGGAACCGGCUGGACAGCCACGACUGGGAGAAGAUUUCCAAUGUUAACGUAAGUUAGGAAGACCUGGGAGCCCACUGCUCUAGGAGUGCUUCUAAGCCAAGUGUGGUGGGAGCUUGGUGGUGAAGCCUCACCAUCCCUUGUGCCUUAAGCCAUUACAACGUCUCCAGUCCAAUAUGCUUGGCAGUUAGAAGUGGCAAAGGAUUUCAUGGGACCCUCCCCAGCUGAAAAGGUCCCACUCUUGAGAUAGACAGUCUUCAAUACUGUUUGGCU
Molecule: long non-coding RNA, 505 nt
Filed under: Rattus norvegicus (Norway rat)
Lineage: Eukaryota; Metazoa; Chordata; Mammalia; Rodentia; Muridae
Description: long non-coding RNA NONRATT019083
Source: RNAcentral